Molecule: ribosomal RNA, 1058 nt
Filed under: Cordyceps tenuipes
Lineage: Eukaryota; Fungi; Ascomycota; Sordariomycetes; Hypocreales; Cordycipitaceae
Description: SSU rRNA
Rfam family: Eukaryotic small subunit ribosomal RNA
Source: RNAcentral
UGCAUGUCUAAGUAUAAGCAAUUAUACAGCGAAACUGCGAAUGGCUCAUUAUAUAAGUUAUCGUUUAUUUGAUAGUACCUUACUACUUGGAUAACCGUGGUAAUUCUAGAGCUAAUACAUGCUAAAAAUCCCGACUUCGGAAGGGAUGUAUUUAUUAGAUUAAAAACCAAUGCCCUCUGGGCUCCUUGGUGAUUCAUGAUAACUCUUCGAAUCGCACGGCCUUGCGCCGGCGAUGGUUCAUUCAAAUUUCUUCCCUAUCAACUUUCGAUGUUUGGGUAUUGGCCAAACAUGGUUGCAACGGGUAACGGAGGGUUAGGGCUCGACCCCGGAGAAGGAGCCUGAGAAACGGCUACUACAUCCAAGGAAGGCAGCAGGCGCGCAAAUUACCCAAUCCCGAUUCGGGGAGGUAGUGACAAUAAAUACUGAUACAGGGCUCUUUUGGGUCUUGUAAUUGGAAUGAGUACAAUUUAAAUCCCUUAACGAGGAACAAUUGGAGGGCAAGUCUGGUGCCAGCAGCCGCGGUAAUUCCAGCUCCAAUAGCGUAUAUUAAAGUUGUUGUGGUUAAAAAGCUCGUAGUUGAACCUUGGGCCUGGCUGGCCGGUCCGCCUCACCGCGUGCACUGGUCCGGCCGGGCCUUUCCCUCUGUGGAACCCCAUGCCCUUCACUGGGCGUGGCGGGGAAACAGGACGUUUACUUUGAAAAAAUUAGAGUGCUCCAGGCAGGCCUAUGCUCGAAUACAUUAGCAUGGAAUAAUGAAAUAGGACGCGUGGUUCUAUUUUGUUGGUUUCUAGGACCGCCGUAAUGAUUAAUAGGGACAGUCGGGGGCAUCAGUAUUCAAUUGUCAGAGGUGAAAUUCUUGGAUUUAUUGAAGACUAACUACUGCGAAAGCAUUUGCCAAGGAUGUUUUCAUUAAUCAGGAACGAAAGUUAGGGGAUCGAAGACGAUCAGAUACCGUCGUAGUCUUAACCAUAAACUAUGCCGACUAGGGAUCGGACGAUGUUAUUUUUUGACGCGUUCGGCACCUUACGAGAAAUCAAAGUGCUUGGGCUCCAGGGGGA